GAUGAAGAACGUAGCGAAAUGCGAUAAGUAAUGUGAACUGCAGAAUUCAGUGAAUCAUCGAAUCUUUGAACGCACAUUGCGCCCGCCAGUAUUCUGGCGGGCAUGCCUGUUCGAGCGUCAUUUCAACCAUCAAGCCCCCGGCUUGUGUUGGGGACCUGCGGCUGCCGCAGGCCCUGAAAACCAGUGGCGGGCUCGCUAGUCACUCCGAGCGUAGUAAUACAUCUCGCUCAGGGCGUGCUGCGGGUUCCGGCCGUUAAAAAGCCUUAUUUACCCAAGGUUGACCUCGGAUCAGGUAGGAAGACCCGCUGAACUUAAGCAUAUCAAUAAGCGGAGGA
RNAcentral lists this unclassified non-coding RNA (335 nucleotides) under soil metagenome. Its description in RNAcentral is "partial contains 5.8S ribosomal RNA, internal transcribed spacer 2, and large subunit ribosomal RNA". The stretch from base 1 to 120 matches the Rfam family "5.8S ribosomal RNA", at positions 35 to 154 of the family's 154-position model. The record is from RNAcentral.